Non-coding RNA from Nannospalax galili (Upper Galilee mountains blind mole rat), 522 nucleotides. The record is from the annotation of a RefSeq genome assembly. NCBI's taxonomy places the organism in Eukaryota, Metazoa, Chordata, Mammalia, Rodentia, Spalacidae.
GCCCAGCCCUGCAUUCCCUGUGUUCCCAUUCAGUGACCAGCACUGAACAGACUCACCAUGGAGCUGGGGCUGAGCUGGCUUUUCCUUGUUGUGCUUUUAAAAGGUGUCCAGUGUGAGGAGAAGCUGGUGGAGUCUGGAGGAGGCUUGGUGAAGCCUGGAGGGUCCCUAAAACUCUCGUGUGUGGCUUCUGGAUUCACUUUCAGCAGUUACUACAUGGACUGGGUCCGCCAGGCUCCCGGAAAGGGGCUGGAGUGGAUCGCAAGGAUAAGAAGCAGUGGUAGUGGUAGUAGCACAUACUACACAGACUCUGUGAAGGGCCAAUUCACCAUCUCCAGAAACAAUGCCAAGAACACCCUGUACCUGCAAAUGAGCAGUCUGAGAAUUGAGGACACGGCCACCUAUUACUGUGCAAGAGACACAAAAUACUGGAAUAAUGGAUCCCAAAGAGUUAAACGGGACGGAGAUGAGAACGAGUUAGAGGAGAAAGUAAAGAGCGUGACAAAGAACCCUGCAGAGCAGUGA